GAUGAACGCUAGCGGCAGGCUUAAUACAUGCAAGUCGAGGGGCAGCAGGACUGUAGCAAUACAGUUGCUGGCGACCGGCAAACGGGUGCGGAACACGUACGCAACCUACCCAAAACUGGGGGAUAGCCCGGGGAAACCCGGAUUAAUACCUCGUAACCUUUUUAAGUGGCAUCACUUGAUAAGUAUAGCUCCGGCGUUUUUGGAUGGGCGUGCGCCUGAUUAGGUAGUUGGUGCGGGUAACGGCCCACCAAGCCUGCGAUCAGUAACUGGUGUGAGAGCACGACCAGUCACACGGGCACUGAGACACGGGCCCGACUCCUACGGGAGGCAGCAGUAAGGAAUAUUGGUCAAUGGACGCAAGUCUGAACCAGCCAUGCCGCGUGAAGGAUGAAGGUCCUCUGGAUUGUAAACUUCUUUUAUGGGGGACGAAACCCGGAUAUUCUUAUCCGAUUGACGGUACCUCAGGAAUAAGCACCGGCUAACUCCGUG
RNAcentral lists this ribosomal RNA (489 nucleotides) under uncultured bacterium. RNAcentral's name for it is "partial 16S ribosomal RNA". It matches the Rfam family "Bacterial small subunit ribosomal RNA", at positions 28 to 507 of the family's 1533-position model. The record is from RNAcentral.